RNAcentral lists this non-coding RNA (28 nucleotides) under Rattus norvegicus (Norway rat). The record is from RNAcentral. Lineage: Eukaryota; Metazoa; Chordata; Mammalia; Rodentia; Muridae.
UUCACUGACGCAGGAACCCACAGUGAAA